GAAGGAUUAAGCUUCAUGUUAUAAUUAUCAAGGAUAUCAAAUGCUUCCUCCAAGUCCCUUAGGUGAUCCUCAGCUUUCUUUGACUUUACUACCAUAUCAUCUAUGUACACUUCCAUAGUCUGUCCAAUUUGAUCUUUGAACAUCAUAUUCACAAGCCUUUGAUAUGUUGCACCUGCAUUUCUUAAUCCAAAAGGCAUGGCAAUAUAACAAUAUAAACCGGUUGGGGUCAUAAAGGCUGUAUCCUCUUGGUCAGAUGGUUCCAUCUGAAUUUGUUGGAAUCCAGAUGAUGCAUCCAUAAAGGUUAACAGUUCAUGCCCCGCUGUUGCAUCCACCAUGGAGUCAAUGUGGGGUAAUGGGAAAGGAUCCUUGGGACAUGCCUUAUUCAAAUCAGUGAAAUCGACACAUACCCUCCACUUUCCGUUUUUCUUUUGGACAACAACCACAUUGGCUAACCAUUUUGGAUACUUUACCUCUCUGAUCAUACCUGCUCGAAGUAGUCUCUCUACUUCUUCUUGGAUAAUGGCAUUCCUUUCUGGUGCAAACUUCCUCCUUUUUUGAUGGAUUGGUUUGAUAGACCUGUCAAUGCCAAGUUUGUGAGUAAUAAUAUCCUUAGAUAUACCUGUCAUAUCUUCAUGUUUCCAAGCAAAGGUAGAUUUUCUUCUUUUGAGGAAGGAUAUCAUGUCUUCUUUCAUCUUGCCAAGGAUCCCUGAUCCAAUAUAGAUUUUUGAUUCAGGAUCACUAGGAUCCAAGAGGAUUUCGUCCACAUCUUGUUCCCUUGCCUCCAAGACAUUCCUCGGAGGAUACUGUAAUUGCUAUUGCUCCCUUGGCUUCGAGGUUGGCUUCAUGGAUGAGGUAUAACAAUCCUUAGCCUCCUGCUGAUCACUGUCGAUCUUGAUUAUCCCCCAUGGGCUAGGGAGCUUCACACAUUGAUGGUAGGUAGAUGGAACUGCUUUCAUGUCAUGUAUCCAAGGCCUGCCAAGGAUAACGUUGCAACAAGACAAACAGUCAAUAACACAAAAUUUUUGGUAAUUAUG
This 1034-nucleotide long non-coding RNA is filed under the name Helianthus annuus (common sunflower). Lineage: Eukaryota; Viridiplantae; Streptophyta; Magnoliopsida; Asterales; Asteraceae. The record is from RNAcentral.